RNAcentral lists this long non-coding RNA (309 nucleotides) under Coturnix japonica (Japanese quail). RNAcentral's name for it is "lncRNA (ENSCJPG00005017321.1)". Lineage: Eukaryota; Metazoa; Chordata; Aves; Galliformes; Phasianidae. The record is from RNAcentral.
UUCUCUGUGGACCUUCUUUUUCCUUUUUUUUUUUUUUCCCAUUAGAAAAAUCUUUUUCCUUUGUUUAAAAAAUAGGUGCAGUGGGGAAAUACUUGCCUGGGAAAUUCCUUCAGGGAAUGAGAUGCACAAAGAUCUUGAUGCUGCUGCAGUCCAAGACUCUUGUCAGGUGCUCUUGGUGAAGAGUUGUUUAGAAGAUGACUUCAACCACGGGUUCACACAGAUGAGUUCUGUGCUGUAAAAACUUCAGCAGGAACAUCUCCAAGACAAAUGCAAUCCUGAUGGCCAUGGCCUGAAGGGCAGAGCCACCCU